This 618-nucleotide ribosomal RNA is filed under the name uncultured bacterium. RNAcentral describes it as "bacterial SSU rRNA". It matches the Rfam family "Bacterial small subunit ribosomal RNA", at positions 338 to 948 of the family's 1533-position model. The record is from RNAcentral.
CCUACGGGAGGCAGCAGUGGGGAAUUUUGGACAAUGGGCGCAAGCCUGAUCCAGCCAUGCCGCGUGCGGGAAGAAGGCCUUCGGGUUGUAAACCGCUUUUGUCAGGGAAGAAAAGGUUCUGGUUAAUACCUGGGACUCAUGACGGUACCUGAAGAAUAAGCACCGGCUAACUACGUGCCAGCAGCCGCGGUAAUACGUAGGGUGCAAGCGUUAAUCGGAAUUACUGGGCGUAAAGCGUGCGCAGGCGGUUAUGCAAGACAGAGGUGAAAUCCCCGGGCUCAACCUGGGAACUGCCUUUGUGACUGCAUAGCUAGAGUGCGGCAGAGGGGGAUGGAAUUCCGCGUGUAGCAGUGAAAUGCGUAGAUAUGCGGAGGAACACCGAUGGCGAAGGCAAUCCCCUGGGCCUGCACUGACGCUCAUGCACGAAAGCGUGGGGAGCAAACAGGAUUAGAUACCCUGGUAGUCCACGCCCUAAACGAUGUCAACUGGUUGUUGGGAGGGUUUCUUCUCAGUAACGUAGCUAACGCGUGAAGUUGACCGCCUGGGGAGUACGGCCGCAAGGUUGAAACUCAAAUGAAUUGACCGGNUGAGAGNGCGAGACGACGACGAGGGAGGAGG